Molecule: long non-coding RNA, 322 nt
Filed under: Elaeis guineensis (African oil palm)
Lineage: Eukaryota; Viridiplantae; Streptophyta; Magnoliopsida; Arecales; Arecaceae
Description: long non-coding RNA (EGUI_LNC024659)
Source: RNAcentral
UCUCUACACCGCAGACUCGAGACUCAACUGUCCUAAAGGGAGGUGAUCCAUGCAUCAAUCUUGAAUGGAUUGAUCACUGUCCUCCACGAUGAUCCUUCGAUCGAGAGUAUUUAGAAAUUAACCACUAAUGAUGUAUGUCUCAAAUUCCCAACACCUUGAGAAUAUACAAAAUUAUCUUUAUUAAUUUUUAAAAUAAAUCAUAGACACAUAAAUAUGAUUGAUUAUUAAGACUGCCUAACAAGUACAAAAUAUGCCCCAGAAGAAAGUAUGUAUCAGUCAAACUUGGCUUCUGGGACACACAUCCAAUACUACCUCCAUCCCU